This 400-nucleotide ribosomal RNA is filed under the name uncultured Pseudomonas sp. RNAcentral describes it as "bacterial SSU rRNA". It matches the Rfam family "Bacterial small subunit ribosomal RNA", at positions 984 to 1382 of the family's 1533-position model. Lineage: Bacteria; Pseudomonadati; Pseudomonadota; Gammaproteobacteria; Pseudomonadales; Pseudomonadaceae. The record is from RNAcentral.
ACAUGCAGAGAACUUCCAGAGAUGGAUUGGUGCCGUUCGGGAACUCUGACACAGGUGCUGCAUGGCUGUCGUCAGCUCGUGUCGUGAGAUGUUGGGUUAAGUCCCGUAACGAGCGCAACCUUUGUCCUUAGUUACCAGCACGUUAUGGUGGGCACUCUAAGGAGACUGCCGGUGACAAACCGGAGGAAGGUGGGGGAUGACGUCAAGUCAUCAUGGCCCUUACGGCCUGGGCUACACACGUGCUACAAUGGUCGGUACAAAGGGUUGCCAAGCCGCGAGGUGGAGCUAAUCCCAUAAAACCGAUCGUAGUCCGGAUCGCAGUCUGCAACUCGACUGCGUGAAGUCGGAAUCGCUAGUAAUCGUGAAUCAGAAUGUCACGGUGAAUACGUUCCCGGGCCUU